This 253-nucleotide ribosomal RNA is filed under the name uncultured bacterium. RNAcentral's name for it is "partial 16S ribosomal RNA". It matches the Rfam family "Bacterial small subunit ribosomal RNA", at positions 524 to 776 of the family's 1533-position model. The record is from RNAcentral.
GACGGAGGAUGCAAGUGUUAUCCGGAAUCACUGGGCGUAAAGCGUCUGUAGGUGGUCAAACAAGUCAACUGUCAAAUCUUGAAGCUCAACUUCAAAAUCGCAGUCGAAACUAUUAGACUAGAGUAUAGUAGGGGUAAAGGGAAUUUCCAGUGGAGCGGUGAAAUGCGUAGAGAUUGGAAAGAACACCGAUGGCGAAGGCACUUUACUGGGCUAUUACUAACACUCAGAGACGAAAGCUAGGGUAGCAAAUGGG